RNAcentral lists this ribosomal RNA (483 nucleotides) under uncultured bacterium. Its description in RNAcentral is "partial 16S ribosomal RNA". It matches the Rfam family "Bacterial small subunit ribosomal RNA", at positions 30 to 507 of the family's 1533-position model. The record is from RNAcentral.
AUUGAACGCUGGCGGCAGGCCUAACACAUGCAAGUCGAGCGGAUGAAGGGAGCUUGCUCCUGGAUUCAGCGGCGGACGGGUGAGUAAUGCCUAGGAAUCUGCCUGGUAGUGGGGGAUAACGUCCGGAAACGGGCGCUAAUACCGCAUACGUCCUGAGGGAGAAAGUGGGGGAGCUUCGGACCUCACGCUAUCAGAUGAGCCUAGGUCGGAUUAGCUAGUUGGUGGGGUAAAGGCCUACCAAGGAGACGAUCCGUAACUGGGCUGAGGGGAUGAUGAGUCACACUGGAACUGAGACGCGGUACAGACUCCUACGGGAGGCAGCAGUGGGGAAUAUUGGACGAUGGGCGAAAGCCUGAUCCAGCCAUGCGCGUGUGUGAAGAAGGUCUUCGGAUUGUAAAGCACUUUAAGUUGGGAGGAAGGGCAGUAAGUUAAUACCUUGCUGUUUUGACGGUACCAACAGAAUAAGCACCGGCUAACUUCGUG